GACGAACGCUGGCGGCGUGCUUAACACAUGCAAGUCGAACGGAAAGGCCCUGCUUUUGUGGGGUGCUCGAGUGGCGAACGGGUGAGUAACACGUGAGUAACCUGCCCUUGACUUUGGGAUAACUUCAGGAAACUGGGGCUAAUACCGGAUAGGAGCUCCUGCUGCAUGGUGGGGGUUGGAAAGUUUCGGCGGUUGGGGAUGGACUCGCGGCUUAUCAGCUUGUUGGUGGGGUAGGGGCUUACCAAGGCUUUGACGGGUAGCCGGCCUGAGAGGGUGACCGGCCACAUUGGGACUGAGAUACGGACCAGACUCCUACGGGAGGCAGCAGUGGGGAAUAUGGCACAAUGGGCGGAAGCCUGAUGCAGCAACGCCGCGUGCGGGAUGACGGCCUUCGGGUUGUAAACCGCUUUCGCCUGUGACGAAGCGUGAGUGACGGUAAUGGGUAAAGAAGCACCGGCUAACUACGUG
RNAcentral lists this ribosomal RNA (468 nucleotides) under uncultured bacterium. RNAcentral describes it as "partial 16S ribosomal RNA". It matches the Rfam family "Bacterial small subunit ribosomal RNA", at positions 28 to 507 of the family's 1533-position model. The record is from RNAcentral.